AUCUUCGGUUGAAACAAGUUCAUUAGAUCGUUAUCUUUCGAAUAAAAACUUGUAUCCGUAAACAAUACCGCGCUUCGCAGGUCUCAGGUGCGUCGAUUCGAUCGUCAGCCGAAGAAUACAAUCGUUCAUAGAAAUACAUUUCAAAGACUAUGAGACACUUUUAAUGCCUCUCUAACAUGAAAUCAACAUAACAGGCGAAACUUUUGGGUUAAUAAAUUCAUAACGUUUCUGAAGCUAUUUCGAAGAAGUGUAUAAUUUUUGCCUAACGUCAUUUUUAAGGCGAUAAUAAUUUACAAGAUAAUAAUUUUGUUAUGCAUGCAGUUUGCAUGCGCAGUGUUAUAGUUGCACAAGGUUUAUCAAUCAUGACAAAGCGUACAGACAUGCUAAAUGUCACAUCUUACUAUUUUAGAGCUCACGAAUGCGCUUCGAACACCACGUGACCGCCGCGUGCGUCUAAUUGUAAGUUAGGUGUCACUCGGAUGAAGGUGCAAGAAUUCCGUGUCAGAAGUUUGUUUUAAUUUCACCUACACAUUAAAUUAUGAAGAGAUGAAUAACGAUUAUAUAUAUGUGCAAUGCAGUGCAUUUUCCUCCAGAAAUAAAUAGCUUAACGCACGACUAAUUACCGAUCUGGACACGUUAUUGGAGUAUGAUUUAUCUAUCGACGCGAUGGGAAUAGAAACAAGGCGAGCUAAAUUGGAAGCGAACGAAUGGUACGCGUGAAGAAUCAAAUAAACUUGACGUCUGGCGGAACAAAAUGAUACGAGCCCUUUUAAAAUCGAUCUUGGAUGGUUUCCGGCGAAGAAUCUACCGAUUCGUGUGUACAACGAGGCCGGUGUGCGGUUACAUCUGAUGCAGGCUGGCACCGACGAGAGGUCAGCCACACCGCUGGUUAUUUUCAGCCCUCUCGCGUCGUGAUUUAGCCCUCUCACCGGCACGAGUGACUUCUUACUGACACCCGUGUCUUCUCCCAACACGCGCCAAGUACGCUAGAAAUUGUUUGACGGGAGUCGUUCCACCGCCGCUGACGCAGGAGCCGGACGAUGUACCCGUUAUUCGCUGCGUGAUGUAUGAACGCCACACGCGCCCGUUGUCAUACGCGUGUCUCGCGUAAAGAUAAUGCGUAGGUGUUACGCUAUGCCUCGAGUAGAAGGUUCUCGGCCAGCCUAUCUUGCAGUAUAAAUAGGCGGGCGUCACAUUUUGCAUAUUAUGUGUUCUAGUAAUUGUGUAGAAACAAUUCGCUGAUAAUUCUCGCCUGAUAUCGUAUGAAAAUUCCUGUGCUAGCUACCUUAGAACAAUGAAUGAAUUAAUUAAAGAAUAUUUUAAUAUUUAUGAUUUGACUCCCAUUUGAAGAUAUUUAUAAAACAUGUACAAUAAUAAACACGACCUCUUAUUUCACGGCAAAUGUCUGUGAAUUUAUACAUUCUUAUAAUUAUCUGUUAUCAAUCGUGCCGAUUAAAUAUCUGCAUGCUGCAAGUGUGAUGUAAGGAGUUGAUUUUUAACAAUCGUAUAACACUUAUCCAACGUAAUUUAUACGAUUUAAAUAUAUUUUUUAUCUCGA
Molecule: long non-coding RNA, 1558 nt
Organism: Ceratina calcarata
Lineage: Eukaryota; Metazoa; Arthropoda; Insecta; Hymenoptera; Apidae
Exons: 2
Source: RefSeq, a predicted model, not a curated record